AUGUCACUUCCCGGACCUUACCAGGCAGCUGCAGGGCCAUCCUCUGGGCCCACCGCUCCCCCAACCUAUGAAGAGACGGUGGGUGUCAGUGGUUACUAUCCGACACCCCCGGCACCCAUGCCCGGGCCGACCACUGGGCUGGUGACAGGUCCAGAUGGGAAAGGCAUGAAUCCACCUUCGUAUUACACCCAGCCGUCGCCUGUCCCCAAUACCAAUGCAAUUGCUGUUCAGACGGUCUACGUGCAGCAGCCCAUCUCCUUUUAUGACCACCCUGUCCAGAUGUGCUGUCCUUCCUGCAGCAAGAUGAUCGUGACCCAGCUGUCCUACAACGCCGGUGCCCUCACCUGGCUUUCUUGUGGGAGCCUGUGCCUGCUGGGGUGUGUUGCAGGCUGCUGUUUCAUCCCCUUCUGCGUGGACGCCCUGCAGGACGUGGACCACUACUGCCCCAACUGCAAAGCCCUGCUGGGCACCUACAAGCGCCUGUAGGACUCGCCACACGGGGGGCUCAUGCUGCAGGAGGUCGCCUGACCGUCACCCAGCUGCCCCAGGAGAAGCUCUGCUCCAGUGACUUCAUCUCUCCAGGGACUCCACCUUCAUGUCUUUUGGGGGGAAAAUGUCGCAAAAGUAACCCACCUCCAAACCCCAGAAAUUGCUGCUUGGAGUCGCACAUGGGCCUUGCAAGGACGUUGACCUUGAAUGUUUGUUCAAGGGUUUCUCACCGCCUACCUGGGACUUGUCACCCGGGCUAACUGUGAUUGUCACCCCCUUUGCUUUUCCUCUGGUGAUUGGCUGUUGGCUAGCUCCUUUUCCUGCCUCAGUGGGCCUUCCUGGUGGUCAUCUCAAACCUGAGAAGCCACAGUUUGCCUUAUCUUUGAGACUUGUGCCGGAAUGUGGCAGAACCAGCCUUAGUGCCUGUCAUCUGUCUCUUCCCUCGUGACAAAGACCUUGCCUCAGGGCUUGCGCUGACUCUAAUGCAGGCUGCAGUCUUUAGCACUCAGACUCACUUUAAUUUCCUCAUGUUUUUAAGUGCACGGAGGGCUAUUAACACCCACCAGGCACACAUCCUUGGGGUUGAAAACGCAAAUAAAGAAAUCUGGGGCUGGGUGUUGCCAUUAUUCGGUCUCUUCUUGCUUGGUGUCAGCACCACUUUGCACGAAGGGCUUUUUCUCAGAGUGAUUAGAUUCACAGUUCUAUGGCCUGCUUGUGAAAGGGGUUUAUAGAACCGUUUUCUGUGAGGAUGUGCUAGAUAUCCUUUUCCUUCCCAUUUGCCAGUGUGCACUUUGUUUUUCUUUUUUUUAAGACAGGGUCUUGCUGUGUUGCCCAGGCUGGCCUUGAACUCCUGGGCUCAAGUUAUCCUCUUGCCUCAGCCUCCCAAGUAGCUGGGACUGCAGGCAUGCCACAGUGCCUGGCUCUUUCUUUGGGUAAUUUCUUCCACUGCCUUCUUACAGAGGUUUGGUGCAGUUCUGAAGACCCUUUGGGGUUCUGGCUGUAUAAGCAGAGAGAAGAGGAAAGCCCAGUUGGGCCUGUUGGGGUGCCACAGGGCUGAGCGCUUGUCUCAAAGGAAUUUAAACUCUGAUUUUAUUUUUCAGAGAUGUCGUUUGUUGUAUGACAUCAACAUGGUUUGUAGGACCCAGUGACAAGCCAGCGUUCUACAAUGGCUGUUGGGUCAUCUUUGAAAUGGAGACAGAGCCGGGCUUGCCUCUCAGGGACCCCAUUUCCAGCCAAAAUCAGCACAGGGAAUUCCUGAGAAAACCCAAACUUGAGACUCGCUGAAUGUCCUGCAACGUCGAUAGGCCCGAUGUGGGUUGAGUGGCUCGCUAACGAGUCGGAUCCUGAUGUGAGGCUGUCAGAAGGCCGGAGGCGUCAUCGUGGCAGUCAGCCAUGGCUUUCAGGUUUUAAUGAAACGCACAGAGGAAAGCUGUUCCAUUCAUCCUCAGAACAGUGCUCGCUUUGUUAAUUGAUGGGGCACUGUGACAUGCCAGGGACAUGGGUGUCACCCCCUUCCUUUUCCCCACCUGUGGUGACACAGUUCCAUUUGAGGAGGCGCAGGGAAGCCUUGUCACCUUGGGUGGAGCACAUUGCUACUUAAAACCUAUUUCUGUUCUAGGACAAUCACUGCUCACAGGCCACAGUUGUGUGGUUUUUUCCCUUUCAUCUGAUCAAACUCUAGGCUGGGCGGAGUAGUUUUCUGGGGUGGCGGUAGAUAAGUGACCCCAGCUGUUACUAAUUACGCCUGCAAAGUGCUUCAGACCAGGGCCUGAUGUGCACAUAUCCCGUGGGCCUCUGAGCAGACAGCGUGCACUGGACACUCCAUUUUAUGGUGCAAAGCACGCAUCUAAUCCUAACGUUUUUGCACACUAGAAGGUGCUCUGGUUUGUCACUGUUUGUUGGGGACAUUGGCAUUAGUCUGUGACUGACGCUGAACCACAGUCAAUGAUGACAGGGCUGCGUACCAACCUUGAACUGGAAAGGUCUUAGUGGCUGCCUGUCGUACAUACGGUGAUGCCCUUCUGGGCCACAUGAAACGCUUCUUCGUGUCUUGUGAACAGGACAUGCAGCUACUGCAUGGAUCUUACACAGGACCUGACCUUUGCUGAGCACAGCCAGCUUGGGACAGCGGCUUCCCCCGUGCUACCCAGACGCCUCUUUGGGUGCUGAGCCUUUUAAGGCCUGCUGCCUUUAAAAUGGCGUGGCCCGUUUUCUCCGAGGGGAGGCCUGGCGGGUCCAGGGUGCUAAACGCCACCUCGGACUUUCUGGGCUCAGCUGUCUGAGGGGAGUAAAUGCACACGCUGGAAUUUUGCUUGCACUUUGGUCCUUAUUAAAAUUAUCUGCUGUCUGUUUGACUCCAGAGUUUACAACGGGAGCCUGUGUUUUACAGGUUCACGGGGAGGGAACUGGAAGCAGACCUUGCCACACCAUGCAGGAGACCAGGGGUGGUUUUAGGGUUUGGGGGUUUUGUUUCCUUACUUUAACCUAAGAUCUUUAAAGGAACAAGAUUUGAGGCUCAGAGUGAAUAAAAGGAAAGAACAAGAACCCAGCACAUGCUCAGGGUGGUGCAUUUAACCGUCCUCUCGAUAUUCUCUGAAGUACAGGAAAACGGUCCCCUAUUCUAGUAUUUUCUUCCUCUUUUUUAAAAAAUGGUGCUGGGAAUUGAACCCAGGACCUCUCACUCUGCCACUGAGCCACAUUUCACCGCCCUCCCCCCAGCCUU
This is a non-coding RNA of Castor canadensis (American beaver), 3211 nucleotides long. Lineage: Eukaryota; Metazoa; Chordata; Mammalia; Rodentia; Castoridae. The record is from RefSeq and is a predicted model, not a curated record.